CCUUCUGGAGUUUGGCAGAGGGGGGUAGAAUUCCACGUGUAGCAGUGAAAUGCGUAAAGAUGUGGAGGAAUACCGAUGGCGAAGGCAGCCCCCUGGGCCAAUACUGACGCUCAUGCACGAAAGCGUGGGGAGCAAACAGGAUUAGAUACCCUGGUAGUCCACGCCCUAAACGAUGUCAACUAGGUGUUGGAGGGGUUAAACCUUUUAGUGCCGUAGCUAACG
This 222-nucleotide ribosomal RNA is filed under the name uncultured Candidatus Accumulibacter sp. RNAcentral describes it as "partial 16S ribosomal RNA". It matches the Rfam family "Bacterial small subunit ribosomal RNA", at positions 637 to 857 of the family's 1533-position model. Lineage: Bacteria; Pseudomonadati; Pseudomonadota; Betaproteobacteria. The record is from RNAcentral.